This 253-nucleotide ribosomal RNA is filed under the name uncultured bacterium. RNAcentral's name for it is "partial 16S ribosomal RNA". It matches the Rfam family "Bacterial small subunit ribosomal RNA", at positions 524 to 776 of the family's 1533-position model. The record is from RNAcentral.
UACGAAGGGGGCUAGCGUUGUUCGGAAUCACUGGGCGUAAAGCGUGCGCAGGCGGCUUCUCAAGUCAGGGGUGAAAGCCCAGAGCUCAACUCUGGAAUUGCCUUUGAGACUGAGUGGCUUGAGUACGGGAGAGGUGAGUGGAAUUCCCAGUGUAGAGGUGAAAUUCGUAGAUAUUGGGAAGAACACCGGUGGCGAAGGCGGCUCACUGGCCCGUAACUGACGCUCAUGCACGACAGCGUGGGGAUCAAACAGG